UACGUAGGUGGCAAGCGUUGUCCGGAUUUACUGGGCGUAAAGGGAGCGUGGGCGGAUACUUAAGUGGGAUGUGAAAUACCUGGGCUUAACUUGGGUGCUGCAUUCCAAACUGGGUGUCUAGAGUGUUGGAGAGGAAAGUGGAAUUCCUAGUGUAGCGGUGAAAUGCGUAGAGAUUAGGAAGAACACCAGUGGCGAAGGCGACUUUCUGGACAAUAACUGACGCUGAGGCUCGAAAGCGUGGGGAGCAAACAGGAUUAGAUACCCUGGUAGUCCACGCCGUAAACGAUGGGUACUAGGUGUAGGAGGUCUCGACUCCUCCUGUGCCGCCGUUAACACAAUAAGUACCCCGCCUGGGGAGUACGGUCGCAAGAUUAAA
RNAcentral lists this ribosomal RNA (376 nucleotides) under uncultured bacterium. RNAcentral describes it as "bacterial SSU rRNA". It matches the Rfam family "Bacterial small subunit ribosomal RNA", at positions 524 to 898 of the family's 1533-position model. The record is from RNAcentral.